This 332-nucleotide unclassified non-coding RNA is filed under the name soil metagenome. RNAcentral's name for it is "partial contains 5.8S ribosomal RNA, internal transcribed spacer 2, and large subunit ribosomal RNA". The stretch from base 1 to 120 matches the Rfam family "5.8S ribosomal RNA", at positions 35 to 154 of the family's 154-position model. The record is from RNAcentral.
GAUGAAGAAUGCAGCGAAAUGCGAUAAGUAGUGUGAAUUGCAGAAUUCAGUGAAUCAUCGAAUCUUUGAACGCACAUUGCGCCCUUUGGUAUUCCUUAGGGCAUGCCUGUUCGAGCGUCAUUUAAACCUUCAAGCUAAGCUUGGUGUUGGGUGACUGUCCGCUUCACGGCGGACUCGCCUCAAAAUUAUUGGCGGCCGGUACAUUGGCUUCGAGCGCAGCAGAAACGCGAACUCGGGCCCGUCGUAUUGGCUCCCAGAAGCUAUCUUCACAAUUUUGACCUCGGAUCAGGUAGGGAUACCCGCUGAACUUAAGCAUAUCAAUAAGCGGAGGA